RNAcentral lists this small nuclear RNA (23 nucleotides) under Arabidopsis thaliana (thale cress). Its description in RNAcentral is "snRNA_11997". Lineage: Eukaryota; Viridiplantae; Streptophyta; Magnoliopsida; Brassicales; Brassicaceae. The record is from RNAcentral.
AGUUUGGGUUGAUAUUCAUACAU